This 749-nucleotide ribosomal RNA is filed under the name Enterobacter sp. DHL-12. Its description in RNAcentral is "bacterial SSU rRNA". It matches the Rfam family "Bacterial small subunit ribosomal RNA", at positions 23 to 764 of the family's 1533-position model. The record is from RNAcentral. Lineage: Bacteria; Pseudomonadati; Pseudomonadota; Gammaproteobacteria; Enterobacterales; Enterobacteriaceae.
GUCAGAUUGAACGCUGGCGGCAGGCCUACACAUGCAAGUCGAACGGUAGCACAGAGAGCUUGCUCUCGGGUGACGAGUGGCGGACGGGUGAGUAAUGUCUGGGAAACUGCCUGAUGGAGGGGGAUAACUACUGGAAACGGUAGCUAAUACCGCAUAACGUCGCAAGACCAAAGAGGGGGACCUUCGGGCCUCUUGCCAUCAGAUGUGCCCAGAUGGGAUUAGCUAGUAGGUGGGGUAACGGCUCACCUAGGCGACGAUCCCUAGCUGGUCUGAGAGGAUGACCAGCCACACUGGAACUGAGACACGGUCCAGACUCCUACGGGAGGCAGCAGUGGGGAAUAUUGCACAAUGGGCGCAAGCCUGAUGCAGCCAUGCCGCGUGUAUGAAGAAGGCCUUCGGGUUGUAAAGUACUUUCAGCGGGGAGGAAGGUGUUGUGGUUAAUAACCACAGCAAUUGACGUUACCCGCAGAAGAAGCACCGGCUAACUCCGUGCCAGCAGCCGCGGUAAUACGGAGGGUGCAAGCGUUAAUCGGAAUUACUGGGCGUAAAGCGCACGCAGGCGGUCUGUCAAGUCGGAUGUGAAAUCCCCGGGCUCAACCUGGGAACUGCAUUCGAAACUGGCAGGCUAGAGUCUUGUAGAGGGGGGUAGAAUUCCAGGUGUAGCGGUGAAAUGCGUAGAGAUCUGGAGGAAUACCGGUGGCGAAGGCGGCCCCCUGGACAAAGACUGACGCUCAGGUGCGAAAGCGUGG